AAUUUUGGACAAUGGGGGAAACCCUGAUCCAGCCAUCCCGCGUGUAUGAUGAAGGCCUUCGGGUUGUAAAGUACUUGUGUCAGAGAAGAAAAGGCACCUCCUAAUACGAGGUACUGCUGACGGAAUCUGCAGAAUAAGCACCGGCUAACUACGUGACAGCAGCCGCGGUAAUACGUAGGGUGCAAGCGUUAAUCGGAAUUACUGGGCGUAAAGCGUGUGUAGGCGGUUCGGAAAGAAAGAUGUGAAAUCCCAGGGCUCGACCUUGGAACUGCAUUUUUAACUGCCGAGCCAGAGUAUGUCAGAGGGGGGUAGAAUUCCACGUGUAGCAGUGAAAUGCGUAGAUAUGUGGAGGAAUACCGAUGGCGAAGGCAGCCCCCUGGGAUAAUACUGACGCUCAGACACGAAAGCGUGGGGAGCAAGC
This 421-nucleotide ribosomal RNA is filed under the name uncultured bacterium. Its description in RNAcentral is "partial 16S ribosomal RNA". It matches the Rfam family "Bacterial small subunit ribosomal RNA", at positions 360 to 773 of the family's 1533-position model. The record is from RNAcentral.